RNAcentral lists this ribosomal RNA (305 nucleotides) under uncultured bacterium. RNAcentral describes it as "bacterial SSU rRNA". It matches the Rfam family "Bacterial small subunit ribosomal RNA", at positions 338 to 641 of the family's 1533-position model. The record is from RNAcentral.
CCUACGGGAGGCAGCAGUGAGGAAUAUUGGUCAAUGGGCGCGAGCCUGAACCAGCCAAGUCGCGUGAGGGAAGACGGUCCUAUGGAUUGUAAACCUCUUUUGUCGGGGAGCAAAAGACGCCACGCGUGGCGUUCCGAGAGUACCCGAAGAAAAAGCAUCGGCUAACUCCGUGCCAGCAGCCGCGGUAAUACGGAGGAUGCGAGCGUUAUCCGGAUUUAUUGGGUUUAAAGGGUGCGUAGGCGGAUCGUUAAGUCAGUGGUCAAAUUGAGGGGCUCAACCCCUUCCCGCCAUUGAAACUGGCGCUC